This is a non-coding RNA of Nannospalax galili (Upper Galilee mountains blind mole rat), 459 nucleotides long. NCBI's taxonomy places the organism in Eukaryota, Metazoa, Chordata, Mammalia, Rodentia, Spalacidae. The record is from the annotation of a RefSeq genome assembly.
GCCUCUAGUCCAGCUCUCAGAAAUGGGGUCAGCUGCUCUUCUGCCUUGUGUGCUGUUGCUCUGGGUUUCAGGAUCCACUGCGGACAUUGUGCUGACCCAGUCACCAGCUUCUUUGGCUUUGUCUCUAGGGCAGAAGGCUACCAUCUCCUGCAAGGCCAGCCAGAGUGUUACUGCAUAUGGCUCUAAUUAUAUGCACUGGUAUCAACAUAAACCAGGACAGCCUCUCAAGCUCUUGAUCUACAGAGCAUCCAAUCUAGAAUCCGGGGUUCCUGCCAGAUUCAGUGGCAGUGGGUCUGGGACAGAUUUCACCCUCACCAUUAAUCCUGUGGAGGCCGAUGAUGCUGCAACCUAUUACUGUCAGCAGAGUAAGGAGCUUCCUCCCACAGUGCUCUAAGUCUAAACAAAAACCAGGAGCUGUUCCUUACAUGAGGCUCAAGCUCUCAGCUAUUUCUCCCUUCA